GGAUUGGGAGGGUUCUACGGAACCCGUUUGGUGAAUCUAGUGCCGAGAAAAGCCUUCUAUGUGUUGAAUUUCUAGUACCCGUACCCCAAACCGACACAGGUGGGUGGGUAGAGCAUACCUAGGGGCGCGUGAUAACUCUCUCUAAGGAACUCGGCAAAAUGGCCCUGUAACUUCGGGAUAAGGGGUGCCUGCGUGAGCAGGCCGCAGUGAAAUGGCUCUGGCGACUGUUUACCAAAAACACAGGUCUCUGCUAAGUCGUAAGACGAUGUAUAGGGGCUGACUCCUGCCCAGUGCCGGAAGGUUAAGGAAGUUGGUUAGCGCAAGCGAAGCUGGCGACCGAAGCCCCGGUGAACGGCGGCCGUAACAAUAACGGUCCUAAGGUAGCGAAAUUCCUUGUCGGGUAAGUUCCGACCCGCACGAAAGGAGUAACGAUCAGAGCGCUGUCUCGGAGAGAGACACGGCGAAAUAGGAUUGUCCGUGAAGAUACGGACUACCUGCACCCGGACAGAAAGACCCUAUGAAGCUUUACUGUAACUUGGAAUUGUGUUCGGACUUUGUCUGCGCAGAAUAGGUGGGAGGCUAUGAAACGUUCCUCGCGGGGAACUGGAGCCAUCGUUGAGAUACCACUCUGGCAGAGUCUGGAUUCUAACCUACGGGGACAGUUCCAGGUGGGCAGUUUGACUGGGGCGGUCGCCUCCUAAAAUGUAACGGAGGCGCGCAAAGGUUCCCUCAGGCUGGUUGGAAAUCAGCCAUAGAGUGUAAAAGCAUAAGGGAGCUUGACUGUGAGACCUACAAGUCGAGCAGGGACGAAAGUCGGCUUUAGUGAUCCGACGGCACUGAGUGGAAGGGCCGUCGCUCAACGGAUAAAAGUUACUCUAAGGAUAACAGGCUGAUCUCCCCCAAGAGUUCACAUCGACGGGGAGGUUUGGCACCUCGAUGUCGGCUCGUCGCAACCUGGGGCGGUAGUACGUCCCAAGGGUUGGGCUGUUCGCCCAUUAAAGCGGCACGUGAGCUGGGUUCAGAACGUCGUGAGACAGUUCGGUCCAUAUCCGGUGUAGGCGUAGGAGCAUUGAAAGGAUCUCUCCUUAGUACGAGAGGACCGGGAGGGACGUACCUCUGGUGUACCUGUUAUCGUGCCAACGGUAAACGCAGGGUAGCCAUGUACGGAGUGGAUAACCGCUGAAGCAUCUAAGUGGGAAGCCCACCUUAAGAUGAGUGCUCCCUUGAGGCCACGGGAAGACGACCCGUUUGAUAGGCGCUAGGUGGAAGUGCAGUAAUGCAUGCAGCCGAGGCGUACUAAUAGGCCGAUGGC
This 1312-nucleotide ribosomal RNA is filed under the name metagenome. RNAcentral describes it as "bacterial LSU rRNA". It matches the Rfam family "Bacterial large subunit ribosomal RNA", at positions 1563 to 2925 of the family's 2925-position model. The record is from RNAcentral.